UUUGGGGGAUGCAAACAAACAAAUCAUCUGGCCACGCCAGGCCACCACCAACACAACCUACCUGGAUUCAUAUGAUCAUUAGUGCAGCAAUAAAUAGAUAGAAAAACGCUCUUUCUAUUGGGCGCACAAUAUAAGUAACUGAAUUUAUCCAAGCAAGAAAGAAACAUAUUGGGAGAUUUGCGUUUUGAGGGGAAUGUUGUCUGGCUCGAGGACUCUUUUUGCUUUGAUCAAACAAAUUUUUGGUUCAGAUCUGUUAUGCCAAUACCAGAUCUCUGAUCUACUCAUCAUUUUCUUGUUGAUUUGCUAGAGUCGUCGGACCAGGCUUCAUUCCCCCCAAAAGUUUUGGUUCUUCCCAAUAUUCCUUGCAUAAAGAUGAUCACUUUUCCCUUGUGGAUCCACAGGUAAAAGGCCUUUUUCUCCUUCCUUGGCAUACUUUUGAGUUUUCCUGUCUGCAGUUUUAGCUUAUGAGUAACUAAUUAGCUGCGCUUUGGAGUUGCUUCUUUCUUUCUCAUGUAUGUAUGUCCUGUUGGAAGUUAUGCUAACUUUCCUUUCCCCCCCCCCCCCCCCUUUUUAUUGCUACUAUAGUUAGUUAGUUAAGGGCGCGCAGAUUGGUGUAAUGAUAAGGAUCUUUGACUCCGGGGAGUACGUAUGUAUCUAUCUGUCUGUGAGAGUAGUCGCAAGUGUCCGUCUCUCAAAAAGUUCCUUUCCUCAUAAUUACCAUCUUUUUUCCUUCUCUGUUUUCUACCAGGUUAUGAUGGUGUUUUUUCAUUUGUGUCAGAGAUGUAUGUAACGGAAGAAGGAACUACAUGUGCCUUUUUCCAGUGGUUUUUAUGAUCCGGAUGCUUUUCCCCAUUAGAUCAUCCAGAUCCGGCUUCCAAAUUUUUAGAUACUCUGAUUAAAACCCUUCUCUUUGCUCCUCCAACAUGCUAGCCUUCUCCGUCUUACUAGGGUUUCUUGGAACUUUUAUUAACCAAAAACACAAAAAGACAAAAAAAAAAAAGAAAAAGAAAAAGGUUUCUUGGAACAUUUUGGAGCAAUUUCUCCUCUCGAGUGUCCUUUGUGCACUCACUGCCUGUAGAUAAUCUCUUGCUGCUGCAUCAACUUGGUAGAUUUAAACCGUGGGAUGGAUUUCUUCUACUAGCGUUUCAUAAUUCAUACAAAUGAUUAACGAUGAUGGUGUUUACAUGUGACAUGACGUGUCUAAGUAAUUUAUCAAGUAGGAGUAGGAUGCUGUUAAUAUAAUAGAUAUAGCACCACUGCUUAGAUCUUGUCUGAGGAUUCAAUGCCACGAUCUGUUUGUGUCUGGUUUAACCAUUAUUUCAUUCAAAAGUCUGACAAUUUGAUCAUGUAUACUGACUGUAGUUCUCAUCCAAGACACCCUCCAUAACAUUUUACAUCCUCCCUUCUGCAUUUUUUUUUCCUUUACUUAUUAAACAUGGCUAUAGCUUUUUAAUUACUCAAUCAAUAGUAAGUAGGAAUCUAUCGUCUCUUGUAUUUCAGGUUGGUGUCAAACAUAUUUACUACUACCGUUUUUCCAUAGUAUGUGAACUCUUGUCCUGUGAUACCUGUGUUCGAAGACCACUGGUUGCUUAUUAGCCAUUUAUGUAGCUUGGUUUUUCGGGAAUACUGAAUAAGGUACACUACAUUGCGCAUAGAAACAUGCAAUAAGCAGUAGCUACAGAAAUUCACGACUUUCAAAUUUUGAUUGCUUUAAUAUAAUACUAUAUGUAUAUAAUACGUGUGUAUGUUCCUCCUCCUCUUUUUUUUUUUUUUUUUUUUUCAAUCGCCAACCCUACUUCUAAUCCUACUCUAUUAUAAUCUAACUACGAGAGAGCUCAAACUGAGCUUAUGGAAAAAUCAAUGAAGACAGAACCAUCAUCGGGAUCAGACAGAUGUACUACACACCCAUCUGAAUAUUUUUUGAAGAAUCACAACCGUGACAACUUGGUACCAAAUCCUCAAAAGGUUUGGUGGUGACCAUCAGCCUAAGCCUUAGGCUGAUAGUUGUAUGUUCAUGUUCCUCCUCCUGUUCCUACAUGAUAGGAGUAAUAUAAUAAUUACGAUAAGAUGGCUCGUCCUUGGCCAAUUAAUCAUGCAUUGCACCAACAGUUUAUAAGCUGUUUAGUUUAGACUUUAGAGGAGGAGUGGGUGCAAUUGGGCUACUCAUUAAUUUAAUACUACUAGAGUUGGGAUGAAGGAAAUGACAAAAGCUAUACUGCUGCUAGUCUGCUAUGGUUACAGCUAGUACUACUUUAAGACCCCCUGGAUCUUAGGUCUAAACAUCACGUCUUAAUUCACCUUUCUAAAUGUCCCUCUUUCUUGUGAGUUCUGAAACUUUUCCGCCUUCACCACCCCACCGCACCCCCCCCCCGGGGGGCUGCGUUCCGAGGUCAAAACAUUUUUCGACUACUACGUCCUUCUUGUGCUGCUGUGCAGGCAGCUCUAUUUCUGCAGAGUUGACAAAUAUCUCCGAAAAUGAAAAAACAAAAAAAUUGGCAAUCCAAACAGGGCAUUAUAGUUUCGCAAAUUGCUGUUGAAUGAACAAGUCUGAGCUGCUGAACUGAAAAGCUGAGACUUUCGAAAGAAGAGGUCCUGUAUGGUAUGGUAUGGUAUAGAGACUCUACAGACUCACUCAAUAAUCAAUAUGAUGGUUUGAUUUAUACAUACAUAGAGACGUUAUAUGUACGAGUAUUGCGGUCACAAACUAUGGUUUUUUUUUAGGUAUAACUCACAAGCGUUCGCAUUCGUUUUGCGACUAAUCCUGUUUGAAUAGGGUCUGACUCCUUACAACGGAAAACUCUUCCAACGUUAUUUUUUCCAUUUCCAUGAGUUUCGAAUCUAAAAUCUCUUGGUUAAGGAAUGCAAACCCCUUCCACUUGCACCAACAUCCCUUGGUUGUCACAAACUAUGGUUGAUAAACCAUCCGAGGCAUCAACCAAGGUUGGAUCAUAUCGUGUACCUCCACAGAUUGCUAGCCAUAGGCAGUGGAGUAUAUUUUUACCAACAAAUUUUACCAGCUUUGCCUGUAGGAAGGAUUGUGAUGAUCUCUUGUUAAUUCACUACUACUUCCGUUUUAGUCGGGAUGCCUCUCAUGCUAACUAAUUAUACUUUUUUUUCAUUACGAAUACUCACAAUACCGUUUUAAUGGCACUUCCUCCUCCUCUUUUUUUUUUUUUUUUUAAUUACACUCCCCUUAGAUUUAUUAUUAUUAUUGUUAUUAUUUGUUGGUGUGAAAAGAUAAAACUGCCCUACUUUAACUUGGAUUUACAAUUUCGUAAAAAAGAGGUAGUUGUAUAUUGAAAUAAAAAUUGAGGUAUUCUUGUCCAAUUCACCGGAUCGACAAUUCAAAGGUAAUUUUUGACACCAAAAAAAAAAAAAGAA
This is a non-coding RNA of Coffea arabica (coffee), 3381 nucleotides long. Lineage: Eukaryota; Viridiplantae; Streptophyta; Magnoliopsida; Gentianales; Rubiaceae. The record is from RefSeq and is a predicted model, not a curated record.